Molecule: ribosomal RNA, 472 nt
Filed under: uncultured bacterium
Lineage: Bacteria
Description: bacterial SSU rRNA
Rfam family: Bacterial small subunit ribosomal RNA
Source: RNAcentral
GACGAACGCUGGCGGCGUGCUUAACACAUGCAAGUCAUGGGGGAGUAGCAAUACUCAACCGGCGAACGGGUGCGUAACACGUGAGUGACCUGCCUGGAAAUGGGGGAUAGCCGGCCCAACGGCCGGGUAAUACCGCAUACGCUCUUUGGGGGGCAUACCCUGGAGAGGAAACCAGCAAUGGGUUUUCAGAGGGGCUCGCGGCCUAUCAGCUAGUUGGCGGGGUGAUGGCCCACCAAGGCGACGACGGGUAGCUGGUCCGAGAGGAUGGCCAGCCACAUUGGGACUGAGAGACGGCCCAGACUCCUACGGGAGGCAGCAGUGGGGAAUCUUGCGCAAUGGCCGAAAGGCUGACGCAGCGACGCCGCGUGUGGGAGGAAGCUCUUCGGGGUGUAAACCACUGUUGCCCGGGACGAACAUUCUCUUUCGAGGGAACUGACGGUACCGGGUGAGGAAGCACCGGCUAACUCUGUGC